AAUAUGUUAGUGGCACUAUAUAACUAGCAUAAAGUAUUCAUACAUCCUUUGUUAUCUUCCACCAUCCAAUUCAAGAUGGAAAAAAACUUUUUCAUACUUUUUGUGAUACUUCUGAGUUUCUCCUAUUUUCUCCAAGUCUUUGCUAUCCCUGCAACAAGAACAAAAAAUUUGAAUAGUGAAGAUGAAUCAGUUUUUGCUUCUUUGUAUAAGGACCAUGGUGAGAAAAUGAUGGUACAUAUGGAUGAAAGAUUGAUAGGAAGAAGGGUCAAUUUGGAACUCCAUGAUUAUGAAGGGCCUGGUGCAAAUAAAGAACAUAACCCAAAAUCCCCUGGGAAUGGUUGAUGUGCAAAUAUAUAUAGAUUUAAUUAGCUACAUCCUAAACUUUAGAAGGCAAAAUCUAAAAUGUGUGAUAUUGUUUUCUCUAAUUAGAAUCAAGUAUGUGUGGUAUUUUUGUUUCUAUGAUGUUCUUCUAUACAUAUAUAUUUUGAAUUGUAAUAUCAAAUAAGGUAGCAAAAGAGAAUUUUAAGUAAUAAAAAUAUUAGUGUUUUGGUUGUAAUUUAUAAAACUAAGAUUGAACGGGAACAACAAUAAAGAAGCACUUGGCACAA
Long non-coding RNA from Medicago truncatula (barrel medic), 608 nucleotides. RefSeq lists it as uncharacterized. The record is from RefSeq and is a predicted model, not a curated record. The transcript has 3 exons. Lineage: Eukaryota; Viridiplantae; Streptophyta; Magnoliopsida; Fabales; Fabaceae.